UGUUCGAAGUCAGUUCUCAUGGAAUUUUAAGGAAUGUAAGCCAAAGAUUUGGCAGCUCAAUACCAAGCAACAGCCAAACCAAGUGUUGCCAACAACUGCAAAGCGACGUCAAAAGCAACGAAAAAGUAAUUAAUUUUUAUGUACACAUUGUUUAUGAUAUGUGACUAGUUAGUCGCAGGGUGCUUGCGAGAGGGAGAGGGGCGGAGUGGGAAGGGGGGCUUGGCAAAUAAAACAUUUCUAUUGUGAGCAUGCCGACAGUUAGAUUGUGAAUUGUAUUCAUUAUUCGAACAUUAAUUAAGAGCAGGUGUCACAGCUGAUUAGGUGGCGUUGUGCUGCGAUACGCGAAACAUGUUACCAAAAAAAAAAAUAAAUAAAUAUGUAAACAAAAACAAUAAAUAAUAAAAUACAGAACAGAAACAUUUGCUUUAGAACGGUAAAACAACUCUCCUCCCUGGAAACCCCUUCUAAAUCAUCUCAGCUCGUGAAUUAAUUUAACAGAUUCUCGUUUAUUAACUUUCUCAGAAAUGUUCCAUUUAUUUAUUGGACUAUUCCCAAUUAGGCAUCGCUGUAAGCCCCAUGAAUAAAUUAGCAUACCUCAAUCUUUGUUUCGUGUCUUACGCAAUGCCAUAAACAUCGCGUCGUGUGUCAAAAUGCAAAUACUGCUAAAAUAAAGAAAACAAAUAUUAAAAUUAAUUUGCCUGCGGCACGAACACACCAAGAAAAAUCAUACAGCCGUCGUCAGCAGGCGGCGGCCAACUGGCCAGUCAGCAAAUGGAUUCGGACUUGUGCGAUGUUUUUUUUAAUGCGACACUAAUUGCAGUUGAUUAUACGAUGCAGGGGCUCUGAAGGCUUGGCAGCUGGUAAUAGUCGAUUGAGCAACUCCAUCGAUUCCACUAUUCGAUGUGUUAAUGACAUUUACAGAAUUGUCAAACAGUUUGUUGCCACUUAAUUGAGUUGCUGCAAAUUGAAUUCGGUGGCAUUUGUGGAAUAAGAACAUUCGCUUAUUGAUUAAAAGCCAGCACAUGCUAAAGAUAAUAAAAUGUUAUGAUUUAAAUGCUA
Non-coding RNA from Drosophila virilis, 1059 nucleotides. The record is from RefSeq and is a predicted model, not a curated record. NCBI's taxonomy places the organism in Eukaryota, Metazoa, Arthropoda, Insecta, Diptera, Drosophilidae.